GCAUGCGGGUGGUUCAUUAAGGCAGAUGUGAAAGCCCGGGGAUCAACCUCGGAACUGCAUUUGAAACUGGUGAACUAGAGUACUGUAGAGGGGGGUAGAAUUUCAGGUGUAGCGGUGAAAUGCGUAGAGAUCUGAAGGAAUACCAGUGGCGAAGGCGGCCCCCUGGACAGAUACUGACACUCAGAUGCGAAAGCGUGGGGAGCAAACAGGAUUAGAUACCCUGGUAGUCCACGCCGUAAACGAUGUCUACUUGGAGGUUGUGGCCUUGAGCCGUGGCUUUCGGAGCUAACGCGUUAAGUAGACCGCCUGGGGAGUACGGUCGCAAGAUUAAAACUCAAAUGAAUUGACGGGGGCCCGCACAAGCGGUGGAGCAUGUGGUUUAAUUCGAUGCAACGCGAAGAACCUUACCUACUCUUGACAUCCAGAGAAGCCAGCGGAGACGCAGGUGUGCCUUCGGGAGCUCUGAGACAGGUGCUGCAAGGCUGUCGUCAGCUCGUGUUGUGAAAUGUUGGGUUAAGUCCCGCAACGAGCGCAACCCUUAUCCUUGUUUGCCAGCGAGUAAUGUCGGGAACUCCAGGGAGACUGCCGGUGAUAAACCGGGAGGAAGGUGGGGACGACGUCAAGUCAUCAUGGCCCUUACGAGUAGGGCUACACACGUGCUACAAUGGCGCAUACAGAGGGCAGCAAGCUAGCGAUAGUGAGCGAAUCCCAA
RNAcentral lists this ribosomal RNA (712 nucleotides) under uncultured bacterium. RNAcentral's name for it is "bacterial SSU rRNA". It matches the Rfam family "Bacterial small subunit ribosomal RNA", at positions 567 to 1277 of the family's 1533-position model. The record is from RNAcentral.